This 322-nucleotide ribosomal RNA is filed under the name halophilic archaeon. RNAcentral's name for it is "bacterial SSU rRNA". It matches the Rfam family "Archaeal small subunit ribosomal RNA", at positions 223 to 542 of the family's 1478-position model. Lineage: Archaea; Methanobacteriati; Methanobacteriota; Halobacteria; Halobacteriales. The record is from RNAcentral.
GAUUAGGUAGAUGGUGGGGUAACGGCCCACCAUGCCGAUAAUCGGUACAGGUUGUGAGAGCAAGAGCCCUGGAGACGGUAUCUGAGACAAGAUACCGGGCCCUACGGGGCGCAGCAGGCGCGAAACCUUUACACUGCACGACAGUGCGAUAGGGGGACUCCGAGUGUGAGGGCAUAUAGCCCUCGCUUUUCUGAAACCGUAAGGUGGUUCAGGAACAAGGACUGGGCAAGACCGGUGCCAGCCGCCGCGGUAAUACCGGCAGUCCAAGUGAUGGCCGAUAUUAUUGGGCCUAAAGCGUCCGUAGCAAUUCCGGUUGAUCCUG